Molecule: ribosomal RNA, 1170 nt
Filed under: uncultured Rozellomycota
Lineage: Eukaryota; Fungi; Rozellomycota
Description: SSU rRNA
Rfam family: Eukaryotic small subunit ribosomal RNA
Source: RNAcentral
UAAAUAACAAUGCAGAGCCCUUUGGGUUUUGCAAUUGGAAUGAGAACAAUUUAAAUCCCUUAUCGAGUAACAAUUGGAGGGCAAGUCUGGUGCCAGCAGCCGCGGUAAUUCCAGCUCCAAUAGCGUAUAUUAAAGUUGUUGCAGUUAAAAAGCUCGUAGUUGAACUUUUGGUGAGGCCUGCGUGGUCUAGAAUUUCUAGACUGCCAGUGUCGAGCCUGUUUGGGGAUGCGUCACUUGUGGCGAGGAACCCGGGUUACUGUGAAGAAAUUAGAGUGUUUAAAGCAGGCGAUCGCUUGAAUACAUCAGCAUGGAAUAACAAGAUAGGACUUGGUUCUACUUGUUGGUUUGGGAAUCAAAGUAAUGAUUAAUAGGGCCAGUCGGGGCAUUAGUAUUCAGCAGUCAGAGGUGAAAUUCUUGGAUUUGCUGAAGACUAACUAGUGCGAAAGCAUUUGCCAAGGAUGUUUUCAUUAAUCAAGAACGAAAGUUAGGGAUCGAAGACGAUCAGAUACCGUCGUAGUCUUAACUAUAAACGAUGCCGACUCGGGAUCGGCAGGCUUCGUUCGCGAACCUGUCGGCACCGUGUGAGAAAUCAAAGUUUUUGGGUUCUGGGGGAGUAUGGUCGCAAGGCUGAAACUUAAAGGAAUUGACGGAAGGGCACCACCAGGAGUGGAGCCUGCGGCUUAAUUUGACUCAACACGGGAAAACUCACCAGGUCCGGACAUAGUAAGGAUUGACAGAUUGAGAGCUCUUUCUUGAUUCUGUGGGUGGUGGUGCAUGGCCGUUCUUAGUUGGUGGAGUGAUUUGUCUGGUUAAUUCCGAUAACGAACGAGACCUUAACCUGCUAACUAGUGCGCAUUACGCGAGUAGUGCGUGACUUCUUAGAGGGACUGACUAUGUUUAAUAGUCGGAAGUUUGAGGCAAUAACAGGUCUGUGAUGCCCUUAGAUGUUCUGGCUGCACGCGCGCUACACUGACAAAGGCAGCGAGUAUACCUUGGCCGAGAGGUCUGGGAAAUCUUGUUAAACUUUGUCGUGCUGGGAUAGAUCAUUGCAAUUAUUGGUCUUGAACGAGGAAUUCCUAGUAAGCGCAAGUCAUCAGCUUGCGUUGAUUACGUCCCUGCCCUUUGUACACACCGCCCGUCGCUACUACCGAUUGAAUGGCUUAGUGAGGC